GAUGAAGAACGUAGCGAAAUGCGAUAAGUAAUGUGAAUUGCAGAAUUCAGUGAAUCAUCGAAUCUUUGAACGCACAUUGCGCCCGCCAGUAUUCUGGCGGACAUGCCUGUCUGAGCGUCAUUUCAACCCUCAUGCCCCUAGGGCGUGGUGUUGGGGAUCGGCCAAAGCCCGCGAGGGACGGCCGGCCCCUAAAUCUAGUGGCGGACCCGUCGUGGCCUCCUCUGCGAAGUAGUGAUAUUCCGCAUCGGAGAGCGAUGAGCCCCUGCCGUUAAACCCCCAACUUUCCAAGGUUGACCUCAGAUCAGGUAGGAAUACCCGCUGAACUUAAGCAUAUCAAUAAGCGGAGGA
RNAcentral lists this unclassified non-coding RNA (348 nucleotides) under soil metagenome. RNAcentral's name for it is "partial contains 5.8S ribosomal RNA, internal transcribed spacer 2, and large subunit ribosomal RNA". The stretch from base 1 to 120 matches the Rfam family "5.8S ribosomal RNA", at positions 35 to 154 of the family's 154-position model. The record is from RNAcentral.